UGGGGAAUAUUGGACAAUGGGGCAACCCUGAUCCAGCAACGCCGCGUGGGGGAUGAAGGUCCUAGGAUUGUAAACCCCUGUUGGGAGGGACGAAGGCUUGCGGGCGAACAGUCCGUACGCUUGACGGUACCUCCAGAAGAAGCCCCGGCUAACUACGUGCCAGCAGCCGCGGUAAUACGUAGGGGGCGAGCGUUGUCCGGAUUUACUGGGCGUAAAGAGCGUGUAGGCGGCCAGGCAGGUCCGUUGUGAAAACUGGAGGCUCAACCUUCAGACGUCGACGGAAACCGCUUGGCUAGAGUCCGGAAGAGGAGAGUGGAAUUCCUGGUGUAGCGGUGAAAUGCGCAGAUAUCAGGAAGAACACCAAUGGCGAAGGCAGCUCUCUGGGACGGUACUGACGCUGAGACGCGAAAGCGUGGGGAGCGAACAGGAUAGAUACCCUGGUAGUCCACGCCGUAAACGAUGGGUGCUAGGUGUGGGAGGUGUCGACUCCUCCCGUGCCGC
RNAcentral lists this ribosomal RNA (501 nucleotides) under uncultured bacterium. Its description in RNAcentral is "bacterial SSU rRNA". It matches the Rfam family "Bacterial small subunit ribosomal RNA", at positions 355 to 849 of the family's 1533-position model. The record is from RNAcentral.